AACGAACGCUGGCGGCAUGCCUAACACAUGCAAGUCGAACGAACCCUUCGGGGUUAGUGGCGCACGGGUGCGUAACGCGUGGGAACCUGCCUUUAGGUACGGAAUAACAGUUAGAAAUGACUGCUAAUACCGUAUAAUGUCUUCGGACCAAAGAUUUAUCGCCUUUAGAUGGGCCCGCGUUGGAUUAGCUAGUUGGUGGGGUAAAGGCCUACCAAGGCGACGAUCCAUAGCUGGUCUGAGAGGAUGAUCAGCCACACUGGGACUGAGACACGGCCCAGACUCCUACGGGAGGCAGCAGUGGGGAAUAUUGGACAAUGGGCGCAAGCCUGAUCCAGCAAUGCCGCGUGAGUGAUGAAGGCCUUAGGGUUGUAAAGCUCUUUUACCAGGGAUGAUAAUGACAGUACCUGGAGAAUAAGCUCCGGCUGACUCCGUGCCAGCCGCCGCCGUAA
This 449-nucleotide ribosomal RNA is filed under the name uncultured bacterium. Its description in RNAcentral is "partial 16S ribosomal RNA". It matches the Rfam family "Bacterial small subunit ribosomal RNA", at positions 29 to 523 of the family's 1533-position model. The record is from RNAcentral.